AUGUAAUGUAAUUCCUACAACGUUAAUGCACCAUAUCCCAUUAGAAAUCUGCAGUUAAGUGUGCAUGGGAUAGAUUAGUACUGGGAUGGGUGACCUCCUAGGAAGUCCUAGUAUUUUACAUG
This is a non-coding RNA of Picea glauca (white spruce), 122 nucleotides long. The record is from Rfam. NCBI's taxonomy places the organism in Eukaryota, Viridiplantae, Streptophyta, Pinopsida, Pinales, Pinaceae.